This 83-nucleotide transfer RNA is filed under the name Patescibacteria group bacterium. RNAcentral's name for it is "tRNA-Tyr". It matches the Rfam family "tRNA". Rfam says of the family: Transfer RNA (tRNA) molecules are approximately 80 nucleotides in length. Their secondary structure includes four short double-helical elements and three loops (D, anti-codon, and T loops). The record is from RNAcentral.
GCAGAGGUGGCGGAGUGGUCAAUCGCAUUGGACUGUAAAUCCAACGUCUUCGGACUACACAGGUUCAAAUCCUGUCCUCUGCA